UCGAACAAUGUCUCCAACGUUUCACAGCCGCAACCAAUACUCCCCUCGUGGCCUCACAACAACCGAAUCAACCGACCUUGCGAAUGCAGUCAUGAUGAGUUUCCUCUACCCGGUGAUUGGGAUGUUUGGGGACUUGGUCUACACCAGGAUAUUCGGAACCUUCACAAACACAAUAGCUCAGCCUUAUCAAAGCCAGAGGAUGAUGCAGCGUGAGAAAUCUCUUAACCGGGUAUCCAUAUUCUUCUUCUUCUGCAUCUUCCUUUGCCUCCUUCUCUUCUAGCUCUCUCUCUCUCUCUCUCUCUCAUUCUCCCUCCCACUUGUAUAGUUUUUGAAAUGUAUAUAGACUGUAAACGUUAUGGUAUAACAAGUACAGACAUUAUUGUUCCGAGUUAGGUCUCAAAUUGCAAGGCCAUUUGCUCUCUGUGUGUUGCAUAUCUAUAGACAUAUACGUGCUUGUAUCUUAACUUCAUGAACCAUAUAUAAACACUUCAUCGUCUAUUCUAUAAUUUGUUGUGUUGUCUGUCUUAUAUCAGAUAAAUUAUAUUUCGAAUAGAGUUUAAAUGUGAAGAGAAGAAGUGAGUUGUAUUGCAUUACGGCAUGAAACAUAUUACAUAGAUCGCCUCUGAGUUCCAGCGGCAAACGUAUUUAGCCUAUCUGCAUUGUCUUUGAGUCAGUUUAGAUGGCGAAACAAGUCUGCUAACAAGCCUACGUAGCCGGUUAGCUCCAGGACCAGGAUUGAUCUUUGAUGGAUCACCAACCUCUGAGCACUUCGGUUUGCCUGCACACCAACCACCAGGUGUAAAGCUCCCAUUACCUCUACCGAGCAGCUCAGUGUCAAUCUUGUCCAAGGCAAGAUCAUUGUGUAUGAACUUGCGGGCAAACACAGCUCCGCUUGCAAUCAUCUUCUCUGUAUCACUGAUGUUGAGCGUCUUAGGAUGCUGUUGUGGACCGCUAACGAAAGUGGCUGUUUUGAUUGCAACAUCUGCCUAGACACAGCCCAUGAUCCGGUUGUCACACUAUGCGGACACCUUUUCUGCUGGCCUUGCAUUUACAAAUGGUUACACGUUCAGCUAUCAUCCGUCUCAAUCGAUCAGCACCACAACAACUGCCCUGUCUGCAAAUCCAACAUCGCCGUCACCUCACUGGUUCCUCUCUACGGAAGAGGCAUGUCUUCCGGGUUUGUCUCGAAGAAACAAGACGCAGUAAUACCACGGAGACCUGCUCCACCAAUCACUUCAGGAUCAUCUCUGAACCCAAGGUUGCAACAUCAUCGAACAAUGUCUCCAACGUUUCACAGCCGCAACCAAUACUCCCCUCGUGGCCUCACAACAACCGAAUCAACCGACCUUGCGAAUGCAGUCAUGAUGAGUUUCCUCUACCCGGUGAUUGGGAUGUUUGGGGACUUGGUCUACACCAGGAUAUUCGGAACCUUCACAAACGCAAUAGCUCAGCCUUAUCAAAGCCAGAGGAUGAUGCAGCGUGAGAAGUCUCUUAACCGGGUAUCCAUAUUCUUCUUCUUCUGCAUCUUCCUUUGCCUCCUUCUCUUCUAGCUCUCUCUCUCUCUCUCUCUCUC
Molecule: long non-coding RNA, 1573 nt
Filed under: Brassica napus (rape)
Lineage: Eukaryota; Viridiplantae; Streptophyta; Magnoliopsida; Brassicales; Brassicaceae
Description: long non-coding RNA (BNAP_LNC009635)
Source: RNAcentral